GAUAUGAAUUGGCGUAGCAUAUAUGUAUAUAUAUACAUGGAUUCAUAGGAUAAAGGGAGGAGCAGUGUGUCAAUUUAAUUAUAUCAAUAAUCUUGACUGAAUGUAUGCUUUGGUGACUUUCGUAAAAGCGAGAGGGAGAACCAUGAAGUCUUGGUGUUUAUCUAAAUAAGUUUAUGAUCACACAUUCUACUGGGGUUAUUAAUAAGGUUCGGCUAGGUAAUAUUCAAGAGACGACUAAAGAAAAAUACUCUGCUAUCUAUACUCCUUCACCAUAAGUUUUCAAGGAUCAAAGUUGCAAUCAUACUCUUUUUCGAGAUUUAUUAAGAGACUAGUGACGGGAUAACAAGCCUUAAUUAGCAGCGGGUUUUGAGGCAAUAGACAGGGAACAUUGAAUGUAAGUUUGAUGAUCUGGGUCAGUUCUGGUAUGUAUACUGCGAGGGGCUAUGGACGAGCAGACGGCCUAGAACGCCGGUCUUGGUUUUGUUUUUUUUAUAGUAAAGUAUUAUGAGCUCAGCGGGAUGUUGUAAAUUUAUUUUAAAACUUCACUUAACUACUUAUUUUAUUUUUAAUAUGAAUGAUCAUUCGUCUUUUACA
Cannabis sativa is the source of this 594-nucleotide long non-coding RNA. RefSeq lists it as uncharacterized. The transcript is spliced from 2 exons. Lineage: Eukaryota; Viridiplantae; Streptophyta; Magnoliopsida; Rosales; Cannabaceae. The record is from RefSeq and is a predicted model, not a curated record.